AUGGCGGAAGCCGACGCCCAAACCCAGAGCAACGCGCACUCCUCCUCGCCGCCGGCGGAGGCGUCGGGCGAGCCGAUCCGGUCGCCCCAGGUAGGCGCUCCAACUGCUGCUUCUCCGACGUUUCCGCUCAUGUACCCGAUGCUCGUGCCAGGGAUGUUCUCCCAGCAGGGUAUGGAUGAUCAGGCUCAGGGUCCAGGGAUAUACGCCAUACAGGAGAAUCAGUUCAUGGGGGCGAUGGGAGGUUACGCUCCAAAGACAUUCAUACCGCUCGCUUACAAUAUACCAACUGAAAGCGUCGGGGCAUUGGCUGGUGAAGAGCAAGGACAGGAUGCUAGGCAGCAAAAUGGCCCUCAAAGACAAGUUGUUGUGAGGAGGUUUCACUUUGCUUUUCAGCUUGACCUGGCUCUGAUCAUCAAGUUAGCAGCAGUGGUCUUUUUGUUUAGCCAAGAAGGAUCAAAACAAAGGCUGUUUCUUCUCAUAUUGUUUGCGUCCAUGAUUUACCUAUAUCAAACUGGAGCGAUUACACCUUUCUUAAGAUGGCUCCAGCGGGCGGGAGGUGUGGCCGCUCGUCCGCCACAAGCUCCUGCUAACCGUGCUCCUGUGGCUGCCCAGAAUGAUGGCAACGAUCAACCACCUGGUGGAAACCUCGCAGAUCCUGCAAACCCUGACCAAGCCGCGGAGAACCAGGAACCAGGAGCAGCAGCGGGCAACGAGAACCAGCAAGGGGCAGAGGGAGAAGCAAACCGGCGCAGCUGGCUUGGUGGCAUCUUGAAAGAGGUCCAGCUGGUCGUUGUAGGGUUUGUCGCGUCACUUCUUCCUGGUUUUCAGCACAAUGACUAG
This 840-nucleotide ribosomal RNA is filed under the name Triticum aestivum (bread wheat). RNAcentral describes it as "partial small subunit ribosomal RNA". Lineage: Eukaryota; Viridiplantae; Streptophyta; Magnoliopsida; Poales; Poaceae. The record is from RNAcentral.